GGAAGGGAAGGGAAGUGCUGGGGGUGUGGGGAGGCCUCACACCCCCCUUCACCCGCAUGGCCGAUUGCCCGGCCCAGGGCGCAAGCUGGUGUGCAGCUGGGUUGUGUCCACACUGGGCUCGAGGCUGAGGCUGAAAAGGCUCCAAUCCUCAUGCGGCAAUCUAGUCCACGUAGUCAGACCGCAUGGUUUUGGUAAUAAGAAAUCACACUCCCUGACCGCUGUGGGAUGCUGUGCGAUUCUCUAAAUGCUUUUCCUAUACAUUGUCUGAUCCUCAUGCCACGUCUGUGAAUUAGAUAUUAUGACCUUUUUCUCCUUCACAGAGGAAGAAACUUGGCUUAGUAGAGUGCAGAAUGAGGACGUAAACCUUAGACCUCUGACCUCAGAUCCUUUGUUCCUCCCUUGCAGGGGGAGUUCAAUUGUUUUGGAAAUGGAUAAUACUUUACUGCAACAUGAGGAGAUGAAAACUUAUAGGCACAAUGAUAAGAUUAACAAAGGCAAGGCAACGAAAGGGUGGAGGACAUUUUUCUUUUAAGAAUUUUUUAAGAAAUUGCUUUACCUCAGCACAUUGUAACUUUAACUAUUAUUACUUUAUGGAGUUAAUCCAUGCUCGUUGUAGAAAAUUUUUUAAAUACUGAUAAGAAAAAUGAAAGAAAUAAACCAUUAACUAUAAUUCCAGUCACUGUGUGUAUGCACAUACAUAGUAUGUACAUGUACAUCCUUUGAGAGUUGUCCUAUUCCUUCUUGCAUAUAUAUUAUAUAUAAAGACCACAUAUUAAUAUAUAUCAAUUAUAUUAAUUAUAUAAUUAACUUCACUCCAUAACUUUUUUACUUAGAUACAUAGAGAAAUGCUGGAAUAUCUUUCCAUGUCAGUAAAUUAGUCUAUAUUAUUUUUUUAAUGAUUGCCUACUAUGCCAUUGUACUGAUAUUAUUGGACGCUGAUACUGUUUUCAUUUUUUUAUAAUUGCAAAUUAUGCGGUAAUGACACUUCUUAUGCACGUGUCUUUGUGCAGCUGUCUGAUUAUUUCCUUAGGAUAAAUUCCUGGAAGUAGAAUAACUUGAUCAAGCCACACCUUCGAGGUUUUCAAUGUAUUUUGCCAAACAGCGUGCCUUUUUACAGUCCCAACAGCAGUGUUCAGGAGUCAGAAGGCUUAGUCAAGGAACAUGCUAGGAGGAGAAUAUGCCUGGAAAGCCGGCAUGCAAGCCAUGUCCAAGGGGAGCUCAUGUGAAAUUAAGUAACGAUCGGUCUUUGAUUUCUAGGGGUUAGAGAGGUACUAAGGUUUUGAGCAGAGACUGACUGGGCCAGAACUGGCAAAAGCAGCAGGAAGGACAAAUUGUAAGGGAAAGAAAGUAGAACAGCAUAAGUGAAAUGGGAUACUGAAAUGGGCUGCCACCAAGAGAGAGGAAGAAAGAACACAGAGCAUUCUGUGUGACGGGAGCCCAAGAAGAGAAGUUGCAGAGGAGGAGUGAUAACAUGUUGUAAAUGAUGCAGAGAGGCCAAAUAGUAAACAGAUGGAGAAGGGGCCAUUGAAUUUGAUCACACUGGUGAGUUCCUCAUGGAAUGAGAGAGAGGACAUCAUCCAAGUCAUCACGAGUCUGGGAGGAACUGGGUCUGAGCCUCUGCUAAGGGCAAAGAUCGGAGUGGAACAAAACAAAGAGUUCCUCGGGCCCAGAUCAGUGGGAAGAAGGGCAUUCAUAGGCUGGGUCCAACCAGCAAUGCUUCCACCCAACUGGCAGGGCUUGAGCUCUUUAAUCCUGAUCGGGGGAGGCACAGGGGACAGGCUUUUGUGAAUCAUCUAAAUGAAUGCACAGCACACAGAGAAGGCACAAAAUGAAACAAGAUGCACAACUCGUGGUCUGUUUAAGGCAGUGACACGGUGGGAGUCCAAUCACUUUUUUUUUAAGUAAAAAUUCCAACCCAGAAUAAGAAAGACGACAUCUUAUUCUAUAUUAUGGGGAGGUUGCAAAAUUUCCUUCCUCUUACUUUAACAAAAUAAUAAAGGUCUUUGGAUGGACACGAAUGCCAUCCUCCCUCCUAAAACAUAAAAUCUGAGUCACAGAAAAAUUAUUCUCCCAGAGAAGGUUGGCAUUUGGUUAUAAUCUCUAUACCCGGGCUCUCUCCCUCUCUGAAGACAGUCCCCUCGGCUACAUCCCCCCACCCCCGGUUUCAGAGGGCGGGAGCAGUCCUUCAGCCGAAUCUCUCUGUUCUGCUUUGCCUCCUCCAGGACUCAAUUGAGAGCACACACCAAGCAGAACAAAACAGUGGCAAUUGAUGACAAAUGGACUGAGCUGCCCCCACGUCCCCCUCCCCACUCCCUGUUACCAUGGAGACACAAGCCAGCCGAAGCCAAGAGAUCAGGAAAUAUCCAUAAAGGACAGUCUGGUGGACACAGGUGUUCAGGGAAUCAAUCGGAGCCAACAAGAUCCUUCAAUCUGUCAAGGGUUGGAGGGGGAACGUGGUGAGACGGGGAAUUGAGGAUUAAGUAAAACAGGUGGGUUUUGUCCUUGGGACUAGAAGUUUCUUUUCUCUCCGUGGGGAGUUAUGUCAUUUUGACACAUGUUGACACCACACACCAAAGCUCUAUUUUCUUUUCAAUUUUCUUUUCAUCUUCUCUCUUCUACUUCACCUACAAAUGUGGAUCACCUCUAAGACGGGCAGCCGGAUAUCUGCUCAAGAAGCCAUGAAAUGAGGCAGAAUCUUUGGAAGACUUGGUCACUGGAACUUCCUUCAACCACUUUGGAAAGUAGACAAGAGAGUUCAAAUAUCAUCAAAGGAUUCUCCCCACUUUCUCCAGUUGGGAUGAACAGAGAACACAUCCUCUAAACAGAAAGGCAUCUCUUUAAAGGGGUGGAGACACCAAAAGGGAGGGAGAAAAGGAGAAGAGACUUAACUUACAUUGUGGUUUAUUCUUCACUAUUAGUUUUCUGUGUAACAGGAAGCCAAUAGUCAAAUAUUAACUGGAGUUGUACCACAGCUCACUGGGUCUAGUGGACAUGAUUUCCUCCAAACAACUGUCAUCAAACAUAGACAUGGGAGGGGGGAGGAAAGAAACUUCUCAGUUACUCCUACCUUUUUUAAUGCAAAUAAGAGGUUCCUGCUUAGGUGCUUUGAAACUUCUUCAUUUGAAUUGUUCAAAUUCUAGGUACCUACUAUAAUUCUUCUAACGAGCUCCCUCCACACUCACCUCUGAAGGACAGAAUCAGCCCGUUGCUCUAAGCUUUCAAUCAUUGCUUUGUCAUCACAGUAGUCGUAAAGGUCAAGACCAGGAAUUUUAUAGUCGAUUGCCAAAAUCUAGUAGGGUUCAUUGCUUGUAGAAGGCACUCAAAACAUGCUGAUUGAUUGAAUACUGAAAAUGUUUAAAGUCUUACUGUAGUAGAAAUUACAGCUGAAUCCCCAAUAAUUCUUCUUUCCUCCACUGUGCAGUAGCCAUGGGAUUUAAAUGGAGAUUGACCCCACCAGCUGCAAGGUUGGACCAAUCAGAGAUUAGAUUCCAGUCCUCCUGCCACAAUGAUUGGUUCAGGUAAAUGAAGUCUAUGCCAAUCAACAAAUGGCCUUUUCCCAUCUGAGUCUUGAGGGAAAGUUUGCUAGGAUUUCUGAGAGAGUAAGUUCUCAACUUUGUCCGAAAGAGCCACCAAAGCCAACCUCACUCCUGGACAGUGUGGCUUGACGAUAACUACCCUAGAGCCUCGGACACUUUGCCAUCCUAAAGGAAACUGGCCUGAAUGCAAAUAGGGAAAAAAGUUAAAAUAAAACCAGGACCUUGAUGACUUAAUGGAUCUGUUGGUUCAAACCAACCUUGAAUUCUGUUCUUCCUUGUUCUUUCAAUAGAGUAAGCCAAUAAAUCCCCUCUGUUGUUGAAGCCAGUUUGAGUUGGGCUGUCUAUUUAUUGACUUAUUUGUUUAGUUUUCAAAAUAGUUUUAAUAAGUUAUUUAAAAUUUUUCUUAAAGAAUAAAUAGUCCUAAGCAAUAUACUUACCAAAACUGUCACCUGUUUGACAAUUUUGCUCUUAGUGACCAACAAAAGUAAGUUUUGGACAUCUGGAGACUGAGAUAGCAAAUGACAUCUUCUCUUUGGAGAGGUGCAAGCUGGGAAAUCCACCAAGCCGUCUCACCAGGCUGAUACUGUCCAAAGUAUGAAAGCUCAAUCAACUCGAGAAUUCUUAUUAAAGGGCAGGGACAGGUCAGAGAAGAUGGUGAACACGUCGCAGUGCACUGGAGGUACUCUGAAAGCAGAUCCGUCUUUAUUUGUAGGCAAAGCUAAUAUUAAAGGUAAUUUGCAUUCUCUGAGCAUAAAAUGUGGACACUGUGAAGAACAGAUGUUGAGAGGGCUCGAGCAUUCCAGAAACUGAUAAGAAAUUUAAAUUUGCAAUGAAUAAUAUAAAAUGUAGAUAAUCCCAAUGUCAGUUCUGAGAAGGACUUUUAGGCAUUCUAUUGGAAUUAAACUGUUUGUCAUUUAGCUGAAAAGAACGUGUUAACCAAUCAUUGGUCUGCAAGAAGACCCCUCAGCACCUCUGACCAGUUACACAAGGGAAGGGACUGAGGAGUUAAUGCCAAAUAUUCUAUGUGGAGAUUUAGUGAUUUACUGGCUGUAUUCUGCUAAUCCAGGGAUGAAGCUGAUCUUUGUUCUUUGACUCUUUAGAAGUGCAGAGUUAAAAAAUAGGAGAUGCUCAAGAAGUAACGGAUAGUGGGAUGGAUGGAUGGCUGAAUGGAUGGACAGAUGACAGGUGGAGCUUCUACUGGAAAGAACACUAAUCCACACCAUCCCCUCUAGCCUGAAACAUCCUUUCCAAAGGCAAGAACUGGUCUCUAAUUCUGUGACUGCUAGUCCAAAACAUAUUCUCCAAUAGCAUUUAUCACUUCCCAGGGCCCUGUAAUCUUUAUGAUUUCAGAAACCUGAGCAAAGCCAUGAAGGAAGACUAUCUCUUGUAUCUUAGCCUUACAUGUCCCAGCAUCUAACGAACACAAUACCUCUUCCUCCUUUUUUCUCCUCAAAUGAGGACUUGUAUGUGCCUUAGAUUCACUGAAUUCCAAGCAAACUGUCAUCUUGCUGAUUCCUCUAACUCUGUUAAUAGAACCAUCAUUUUUCUUUGCCAGCACUCCAAAUCAGGAAAUUGUGAUUGUUCCUCACUUUUCGUUUGGCUCCCACAUCCACCUAGCAAGCCCUUAAGAGUCCAUCUCCUCAUUGUUUUUCAUCCUGCUUCCUCUUUUCCAUUGCUACUGCCACCGCCGACUUCAUGUCGCUAACUUCUCACUUGACCAGUGUCAAUUGCUUGUAAGUUGGUCUCCUGAUUUCCAUUUCUCCCCAUGCUUUGACAUCUCUCCCCUCCUGAG
This is a long non-coding RNA of Equus caballus (horse), 5328 nucleotides long. The record is from Ensembl. NCBI's taxonomy places the organism in Eukaryota, Metazoa, Chordata, Mammalia, Perissodactyla, Equidae.